This 465-nucleotide ribosomal RNA is filed under the name uncultured bacterium. Its description in RNAcentral is "partial 16S ribosomal RNA". It matches the Rfam family "Bacterial small subunit ribosomal RNA", at positions 28 to 507 of the family's 1533-position model. The record is from RNAcentral.
GACGAACGCUGGCGGCGUGCUUAACACAUGCAAGUCGUACGGUAAGGCCCUUUCGGGGGUCCACGAGUGGCGAACGGGUGAGUAACACGUGAGUAACCUGCCCACAACUUUGGGAUAACGCUAGGAAACUGGUGCUAAUACUGGAUAUGUGCUCCUGCUGCAUGGUGGGGGUUGGAAAGCUCCGGCGGUUGUGGAUGGACUCGCGGCCUAUCAGCUUGUUGGUGGGGUAGUGGCCUACCAAGGCGGCGACGGGUAGCCGGCCUGAGAGGGUGACCGGCCACAUUGGGACUGAGAUACGGCCCAGACUCCUACGGGAGGCAGCAGUGGGGAAUAUUGCACAAUGGGCGCAAGCCUGAUGCAGCAACGCCGCGGGCGGGAGGACGGCCUUCGGGUUGUAAACCGCUUUCAGCAGGGACGAAGCUUUUUGUGACGGUACCUGCAGAAGAAGCACCGGCUAACUACGUG